Poeciliopsis prolifica (blackstripe livebearer) is the source of this 348-nucleotide long non-coding RNA. RefSeq lists it as uncharacterized. The record is from RefSeq and is a predicted model, not a curated record. NCBI's taxonomy places the organism in Eukaryota, Metazoa, Chordata, Actinopteri, Cyprinodontiformes, Poeciliidae. The transcript is spliced from 3 exons.
UCAGCUUCCGGAACCGCCGUCUGCCGGAAAGGAUACGUGUUUGUUGUUGCCUUACCAUUCAGAAACCAUCUGCGCAUAGUGGCCAGCAGCAGCUGCGUGUCUGGAUCGAAACUCAUUCUGGAAGAGAGUAGACCAUUUUGGUGUUCUUCUUCUUCAGACAAUGUCUUCAUCUUAAAAUGAAGAUACCUUGUAGAAAAUAACCAGCACAAGAACAGAGAGGGAUCAACAAACCGCUGCUACAAGUAAAGGAAGGACGUUGGUGCUGUUCUGACUGGAGCGAAGCCGCUGGCGGGGCGGGGUCUUGUUGUCGCCAGGACUAAACGACUGGGAGACCCCGGAGCCUCCUCG